AAAUCUGAAGCUCCGAAAGGAUAUACUUAGAAUCCAAAUGAAAGAUACAUGCCAAAUGAAUCUAACAAAAAAUGUAAUAGUUGAGUUGCUGCUUCCAGAACUCUAAAUAUCAAAGAGAAGUUCCAGAUGAUAUUUUUGGUCUAUUUACACAGA
Long non-coding RNA from Telopea speciosissima, 153 nucleotides. RefSeq lists it as uncharacterized. NCBI's taxonomy places the organism in Eukaryota, Viridiplantae, Streptophyta, Magnoliopsida, Proteales, Proteaceae. The record is from RefSeq and is a predicted model, not a curated record. The transcript has 3 exons.